This 332-nucleotide ribosomal RNA is filed under the name uncultured Veillonellaceae bacterium. Its description in RNAcentral is "bacterial SSU rRNA". It matches the Rfam family "Bacterial small subunit ribosomal RNA", at positions 28 to 339 of the family's 1533-position model. The record is from RNAcentral. Lineage: Bacteria; Bacillati; Bacillota; Negativicutes; Veillonellales; Veillonellaceae.
GAUGAACGCUAGCGGCGUGCUUAACACAUGCAAGUCGAACGGGAUUGAUUGAAAGCUUGCUUUUGAAAGAUCUAGUGGCAAACGGGUGAGUAACGCGUAGGCAACCUGCCUUUGGGAUGGGGACAACAGGACGAAAGCCCUGCUAAUACCGAAUGAAGUAUCAUUUUCGCAUGGGAAAGAUAUGAAAGAUGGCCUCUGAAGAUGCUAUCACCCAAAGAUGGGCCUGCGUCUGAUUAGCUAGUUGGUGAGGUAAGGGCUCACCAAGGCGACGAUCAGUAGCCGGUCUGAGAGGAUGAACGGCCACAUUGGGACUGAGACACGGCCCAGACUCC